RNAcentral lists this ribosomal RNA (460 nucleotides) under uncultured bacterium. RNAcentral's name for it is "partial 16S ribosomal RNA". It matches the Rfam family "Bacterial small subunit ribosomal RNA", at positions 338 to 795 of the family's 1533-position model. The record is from RNAcentral.
CCUACUUUGUUCCUCCUUGCGGCAUCUUGGUCAAUGGACGGAAGUCUGAACCAGCCAUGCCGCGUGCAGGAAGACGGCUCUAUGAGUUGUAAACUGCUUUUGUACAAGGGUAAACCUGAAUACGUGUAUUCAGCUGAAAGUACUGUACGAAUAAGGAUCGGCUAACUCCGUGCCAGCAGCCGCGGUAAUACGGAGGAUCCAAGCGUUAUCCGGAUUUAUUGGGUUUAAAGGGUGCGUAGGCGGAUUGAUAAGUUAGAGGUGAAAUGUCCGAGCUUAACUCGGGAACUGCCUCUAAUACGGUUGAUCUAGAGAGUAGAUGCGGUAGGCGGAAUGUAUUGUGGAGCGGUGAAAGGCUUAGAGAUCAUACAGAACACCGAUUGCGAAGGCAGCUUACCAAUCUAUAUCUGACUUUGAGGCACGAAAGCGUGGGGAGCAAACAGGAUUAGAUACCCUUGUAGUC